AUACACCUGAAAGCUUGUCUCAACCUGGACUCAGUCAGGUGAGCAAAGUUUCAGGUGUGUCA
This 62-nucleotide microRNA precursor is filed under the name Cordylochernes scorpioides. The record is from RNAcentral. Lineage: Eukaryota; Metazoa; Arthropoda; Arachnida; Pseudoscorpiones; Chernetidae.